RNAcentral lists this transfer RNA (81 nucleotides) under Candidatus Minthosoma caballi. RNAcentral's name for it is "tRNA-Leu". It matches the Rfam family "tRNA". From Rfam's summary of the family: Transfer RNA (tRNA) molecules are approximately 80 nucleotides in length. Their secondary structure includes four short double-helical elements and three loops (D, anti-codon, and T loops). Further hydrogen bonds mediate the characteristic L-shaped molecular structure. tRNAs have two regions of fundamental functional importance: the anti-codon, which is responsible for specific mRNA codon recognition, and the 3' end, to which the tRNAs corresponding amino acid is attached (by aminoacyl-tRNA synthetases). tRNAs cope with the degeneracy of the genetic code in two manners: having more than one tRNA (with a specific anti-codon) for a particular amino acid; and 'wobble' base-pairing, i.e. permitting non-standard base-pairing at the 3rd anti-codon position. Lineage: Bacteria; Pseudomonadati; Bacteroidota; Bacteroidia; Bacteroidales; Bacteroidaceae. The record is from RNAcentral.
GCUCAUGUGGCGGAAUGGCAGACGCGCUCGUUUCAGGUGCGAGUGCCGAGAGGCGUGCAAGUUCGACUCUUGUCAUGAGCA